ACGUAGGAGCCAAGCGUUAUCCGAAUUUACUGGGCGUAAAGCGCGUGUAGGCGGUCUGGCAAGUUGGGCAUGAAAGCUCCUGGCUCAACUGGGAGAGGAUGUUCAAUACUGUCAGGCUAGAGGACGGCAGAGGGAGGUGGAAUUCCCGGUGUAGUGGUGAAAUACGUAGAUAUCGGGAGGAACACCAGAGGCGAAGGCGGCCUUCUGGACCGAACCUGACGCUCAGACGCGAAAGCUAGGGGAGCGAACGG
This 251-nucleotide ribosomal RNA is filed under the name uncultured prokaryote. RNAcentral describes it as "partial 16S rRNA". It matches the Rfam family "Bacterial small subunit ribosomal RNA", at positions 525 to 775 of the family's 1533-position model. The record is from RNAcentral.